GGGCAUGUAGUGUAGGGGUUAUCGCGCCUCAUUUGCAAUUUGAGGAGGUCAGGAGUUCAAUUCUCCUCUUGUCCA
RNAcentral lists this transfer RNA (75 nucleotides) under Rhizoctonia solani AG-1 IB. Its description in RNAcentral is "tRNA-Ala". It matches the Rfam family "tRNA". Rfam says of the family: Transfer RNA (tRNA) molecules are approximately 80 nucleotides in length. Their secondary structure includes four short double-helical elements and three loops (D, anti-codon, and T loops). Further hydrogen bonds mediate the characteristic L-shaped molecular structure. tRNAs have two regions of fundamental functional importance: the anti-codon, which is responsible for specific mRNA codon recognition, and the 3' end, to which the tRNAs corresponding amino acid is attached (by aminoacyl-tRNA synthetases). tRNAs cope with the degeneracy of the genetic code in two manners: having more than one tRNA (with a specific anti-codon) for a particular amino acid; and 'wobble' base-pairing, i.e. permitting non-standard base-pairing at the 3rd anti-codon position. Lineage: Eukaryota; Fungi; Basidiomycota; Agaricomycetes; Cantharellales; Ceratobasidiaceae. The record is from RNAcentral.